AAUUUCCAAACCCUUGGUUACUGUUCAUUCUCCCUCAACCUUGAAUUUUCUCUUUGAUUUCCCUUCUUUUCUUCAAAUUCUUCUUUGAAAAGGUGUUGGGAGAAAAUAGGUAGUUGAUUGGAGAGUAAGGAUUUCAAAUAAAACCUAAUUAACAAAUUCUUGAAUUUAUUCAAAUGGAGUUGAGCACAAACCUACCUUCCAAAAUCUUUCACAAGUUUAAAAUUUCUUAAUCUUCCUUUUCUUUUCUUUUUCCUUUAGAAUUUUCACUCUUCCCUUCCACUUCUUCUUCAUGAAAAAUAAACCAAUAAAUCAAAUGAAUACAAUAUUUCUCAUAAAUAUUCACAUAAAAAUAAUAAGAAACAUCCCUACAUCAAAACCCCCGACAUACCUUUAAAUUUCCAAACCCUUGGUUACUGUUCAUUCUCCCUCAACCUUGAAUUUUCUCUUUGAUUUCCCUUCUUUUCUUCAAAUUCUUCUUUGAAAAGGUGUUGGGAGAAAAUAGGUAGUUGAUUGGAGAUGGAAUUUUGAAGAAAUUUUGGUGUGAAAAAAAAAAGAUGGAGGAAUGGGUCUUCUAUUGGGUUCACGGGAAAGAGAGGAAAAAAAGUUGAAGAAGAUGUUUUCCAGCUUUUUCUUUUCCUUCUCUGCUAACUUUUUAUUCUUCUUCUUUUCUUUUUCUCUUUUUCUUUUCUUUUUCUUUUUAUUUGGUUGUGC
Molecule: long non-coding RNA, 711 nt
Filed under: Manihot esculenta (cassava)
Lineage: Eukaryota; Viridiplantae; Streptophyta; Magnoliopsida; Malpighiales; Euphorbiaceae
Description: long non-coding RNA (MESC_LNC005686)
Source: RNAcentral